GCAGCUUCAACCGCGUGCGAGCGCGCCUGCAGACUGUGAGCGGUGAGCGGCUCAAGGCGCUCUGCCAGGGCUCUGACCCCCGCCUGGGCAGGGCCAGCCUGGACGUGGCCAACCUGUUGGUCGUCUGUGAUGAGGUGGAAGCAGCUUAGGCCAUGACUGUCCUAAGGAGAAGAGAAUCUACCGAAGAAGAGGAUGCUGUUGGACUCAUUGUGCCUGACGAAGAACAGGAAAGGGUGAUUGCAAUGAAAAUGUUCAUAACCCGGCGCCAAUGUGAGAGCAAAGCCCACACCGGUGCCUGCUGCGGCCUCAGUCCCUUCCUCGGUGACCGCCACAAAGGCCCUGUGCAGGAACUUCUUCACCUGCAGCCCGGAAUGUGAGGACAGCCCCGGAGAGUCCGUUCUGUACUCGCUGAAAGCGUCAGCCGGCCCCAUGGCUGCCAAGACGGCCUCCAGGGCCUCCAGAUCGUACCCAUCUUCCACUUCAAACCGCGG
Long non-coding RNA from Felis catus (domestic cat), 491 nucleotides. RefSeq lists it as uncharacterized. The transcript has 2 exons. NCBI's taxonomy places the organism in Eukaryota, Metazoa, Chordata, Mammalia, Carnivora, Felidae. The record is from RefSeq and is a predicted model, not a curated record.